Molecule: unclassified non-coding RNA, 356 nt
Filed under: Hevea brasiliensis (rubber tree)
Lineage: Eukaryota; Viridiplantae; Streptophyta; Magnoliopsida; Malpighiales; Euphorbiaceae
Source: RNAcentral
GGAGAAGUUCCUGUUGCUGAUUUACUGUGGUACUCUGCAGCUAGACCUUGUAGCAGAAAUUGUUUUGAUCGUGCAGAAAUUGCCCGUGUAAUGAAUGCAGCUGGCAGGAGACGAGAUGCUUUACCUCAGGACCUUCAAAAUGGACUAGAUCUUGGUGUGGUAUCCCCCGAAGUGCUACAGAACUUUUUUGAUCUAGAGCAAUAUCCUUUCAUUUCAGAGUUAACAGACCGCUUUCAGGGUUUUAGAGAAAGAUUGUUGGCUGAUCCUAAAUUUCUACAUCGAUUAGCUAUUGAAGAAUCUAUAUCAAUAACAACUACUCUGUUGGCACAGUAUGAGAAGCGCAAAGAGAAUUUUUU